AGCGAACGCUGGCGGCAGGCCUAACACAUGCAAGUCGAACGAACCUUUCGGGGUUAGUGGCGGACGGGUGAGUAACACGUGGGAACGUGCCUUUAGGUUCGGAAUAACUCAGGGAAACUUGUGCUAAUACCGAAUGUGCCCUUCGGGGGAAAGAUUUAUCGCCUUUAGAGCGGCCCGCGUCUGAUUAGCUAGUUGGUUGAGGUAAUGGCUCACCAAGGCGACGAUCAGUAGCUGGUCUGAGAGGAUGAUCAGCCACAUUGGGACUGAGACACGGCCCAAACUCCUACGGGAGGCAGCAGUGGGGAAUCUUGCGCAAUGGGCGAAAGCCUGACGCAGCCAUGCCGCGGGAAUGAUGAAGGUCUUAGGAUUGUAAAAUUCUUUCACCGGGGACGAUAAGGACGGUACCCGGAGAAGAAGCCCCGGCGAACUUCGG
This 433-nucleotide ribosomal RNA is filed under the name uncultured bacterium. Its description in RNAcentral is "partial 16S ribosomal RNA". It matches the Rfam family "Bacterial small subunit ribosomal RNA", at positions 29 to 506 of the family's 1533-position model. The record is from RNAcentral.